GAUAAACGCUAGCGGCAGGCUUAACACAUGCAAGUCGAGGGGCAGCAUAGAUUGUAGCAAUACAAUUGGUGGCGACCGGCGCACGGGUGCGUAACGCGUAUGCAACCUACCCGUCACAGGGGGAUAAUCCGGAGAAAUCUGGUCUAAUACCCCAUAACAUAUGGAUCGGAAUCGGAUCAUGUUGAAAUUUUCGGAGGUGACGGAUGGGCAUGCGUAGCAUUAGCUUGUUGGUGAGGUAACGGCUCACCAAGGCGACGAUGCUUAGGGGGACUGAGAGGUCUUCCCCCCACACUGGUACUGAGACACGGACCAGACUCCUACGGGAGGCAGCAGUGAGGAAUAUUGGUCAAUGGGCGCAAGCCUGAACCAGCCAUGCCGCGUGCAGGAUGACGGCUCUAUGAGUUGUAAACUGCUUUUGUACGAGGGUAAAGUGGGUUACGUGUAACCUUUUGAAAGUAUCGUACGAAUAAGGAUCGGCUAACUCCGUGCCAGCCGCCGCGGUAA
This 504-nucleotide ribosomal RNA is filed under the name uncultured bacterium. RNAcentral's name for it is "partial 16S ribosomal RNA". It matches the Rfam family "Bacterial small subunit ribosomal RNA", at positions 28 to 523 of the family's 1533-position model. The record is from RNAcentral.